This is a non-coding RNA of Colletotrichum acutatum, 95 nucleotides long. NCBI's taxonomy places the organism in Eukaryota, Fungi, Ascomycota, Sordariomycetes, Glomerellales, Glomerellaceae. The record is from the annotation of a RefSeq genome assembly.
GGUCUAUUAGUCUAGUUGGUUAGGACGUCGGAUUCUGAUUCGAAAUCGCAGAUUAGUUUCUUCCGUAAGCCCAGGUUCGAAUCCUGGAUGGACCU